Molecule: ribosomal RNA, 533 nt
Filed under: Salmonella enterica subsp. enterica serovar Schwarzengrund
Lineage: Bacteria; Pseudomonadati; Pseudomonadota; Gammaproteobacteria; Enterobacterales; Enterobacteriaceae
Description: partial 23S ribosomal RNA
Rfam family: Bacterial large subunit ribosomal RNA
Source: RNAcentral
GGGGAGCCGGAGGGAAACCGAGUCUUAAUUGGGCGUUAAGUUGCAGGGUAUAGACCCGAAACCCGGUGAUCUAGCCAUGGGCAGGUUGAAGGUUGGGUAACACUAACUGGAGGACCGAACCGACUAAUGUUGAAAAAUUAGCGGAUGACCUGUGGCUGGGGGUGAAAGGCCAAUCAAACCGGGAGAUAGCUGGUUCUCCCCGAAAGCUAUUUAGGUAGCGCCUCGUGAAUUCAUCUCCGGGGGUAGAGCACUGUUUCGGCUAGGGGGCCAUCCCGGCUUACCAACCCGAUGCAAACUGCGAAUACCGGAGAAUGUUAUCACGGGAGACACACGGCGGGUGCUAACGUCCGUCGUGAAGAGGGAAACAACCCAGACCGCCAGCUAAGGUCCCAAAGUCAUGGUUAAGUGGGAAACGAUGUGGGAAGGCCCAGACAGCCAGGAUGUUGGCUUAGAAGCAGCCAUCAUUUAAAGAAAGCGUAAUAGCUCACUGGUCGAGUCGGCCUGCGCGGAAGAUGUAACGGGGCUAAACCAUG